RNAcentral lists this ribosomal RNA (426 nucleotides) under uncultured bacterium. RNAcentral's name for it is "bacterial SSU rRNA". It matches the Rfam family "Bacterial small subunit ribosomal RNA", at positions 356 to 773 of the family's 1533-position model. The record is from RNAcentral.
GGGGAAUUGUUCGCAAUGGGCGCAAGCCUGACGACGCAACGCCGCGUGGAGGAUGAAGAUCUUCGGGUCGUAAACUCCCUUCGAUCGAGACGAACGGCCAUCGGGAUAACACCCUGAUGGAGUGACGGUACCGAGAGAAGCAGCCCCGGCUAACUCCGUGCCAGCAGCCGCGGUAAUACGGGGGGGGCAAGCGUUGUUCGGAAUUACUGGGCGUAAAGGGCUCGUAGGCGGCCAACUAAGUCAUACGUGAAAUCCCUCGGCUUAACCGGGGAACUGCGUCUGAUACUGGAUGGCUUGAGUUCGGGAGAGGGACGCGGAAUUCCAGGUGUAGCGGUGAAAUGCGUAGAUAUCGGGAGGAACACCUGUGGCGAAAGCGGCGCACUGGACCACAACCGACGCUGAGGCGCGAAAGCUAGGGGAGCAAAC